This 560-nucleotide ribosomal RNA is filed under the name uncultured bacterium. Its description in RNAcentral is "partial 16S ribosomal RNA". It matches the Rfam family "Bacterial small subunit ribosomal RNA", at positions 355 to 1375 of the family's 1533-position model. The record is from RNAcentral.
UGGGGAAUAUUGGACAAUGGGCGCAAGCCUGAUCCAGCCAUGCCGCGUGAGUGAUGAAGGCCCUAGGGUUGUAAAGCUCUUUCAGCGAGGAGGAUAAUGACGUUACUCGCAGAAGAAGCCCCGGCUAACUUCGUGCCAGCAGCCGCGGUAAUACGAAGGGGGCUAGCGUUGUUCGGAAUCACUGGGCGUAAAGCGCACGUAGGCGGACUUUUAAGUCAGGGGUGAAAUCCCGGGGCUCAACCUCGGAACUGCCUUUGAUACUGGAAGUCUGGAGUCCGAGAGAGGUGAGUGGAACUCCGAGUGUAGAGGUGAAAUUCGUAGAUAUUCGGAAGAACACCAGUGGCGAAGGCGGCUCACUGGCUCGGUACUGACGCUGAGGUGCGAAAGCGUGGGAACAAACAGGAUUAGAUACCCUGGUAGUCCACGCCGUAAACGAUGGAAGCUAGCCGUCAGGGUGCAUGCAUCUUGGUGGCGCAGUUAACGCAUUAAGCUUCCCGCCUGGGGAGUACGGUCGCAAGAUUAAAACUUAAAGGAAUUGACGGGGAUCAUAGCUGUUUCCU